Molecule: ribosomal RNA, 405 nt
Filed under: uncultured bacterium
Lineage: Bacteria
Description: partial 16S ribosomal RNA
Rfam family: Bacterial small subunit ribosomal RNA
Source: RNAcentral
AUUGAACGCUGGCGGCAGGCCUAACACAUGCAAGUCGAACGAGUGGCGGACGGGUGAGUAAUGUCUGGGAAACUGCCUGAUGGAGGGGGAUAACUACUGGAAACGGUAGCUAAUACCGCAUACCAUCAGAUGUGCCCAGAUGGGAUUAGCUAGUUGGUGGGGUAACGGCUCACCAAGGCGACGAUCCCUAGCUGGUCUGAGAGGAUGACCAGCCACAGUGGAACUGAGACACGGUCCAGACUCAUAGGUGAGGCAGCAGUGGGGAAUAUUGUACGAGGGGCGCAAGCCAGAUGCAGCCAGGCCGCGUGUAGGAAGAAGGCCUUCGGGUUGGAAAGUACUAUCAGCGGGGAGGCGUUACCCGCAGAAGAAGCACCGGCUAACUCCGUGCCAGCAGCCGCGGUAAUA